GAUGAACGCUGGCGGCGUGCCUAAUACAUGCAAGUCGAGCGAACGGACGAGGAGCUUGCUCCUCUGACGUUAGCGGCGGACGGGUGAGUAACACGUGGAUAACCUACCUAUAAGACUGGGAUAACUUCGGGAAACCGGAGCUAAUACCGGAUAACAUGUUGAACCGCAUGGUUCAACAGUGAAAGACGGUCUUGCUGUCACUUAUAGAUGGAUCCGCGCCGCAUUAGCUAGUUGGUAAGGUAACGGCUUACCAAGGCAACGAUGCGUAGCCGACCUGAGAGGGUGAUCGGCCACACUGGAACUGAGACACGGUCCAGACUCCUACGGGAGGCAGCAGUAGGGAAUCUUCCGCAAUGGGCGAAAGCCUGACGGAGCAACGCCGCGUGAGUGAUGAAGGUCUUCGGAUCGUAAAACUCUGUUAUUAGGGAAGAACAAAUGUGUAAGUAACUAUGCACGUCUUGACGGUACCUAAUCAGAAAGCCACGGCUAACUACGUG
Molecule: ribosomal RNA, 497 nt
Filed under: uncultured bacterium
Lineage: Bacteria
Description: partial 16S ribosomal RNA
Rfam family: Bacterial small subunit ribosomal RNA
Source: RNAcentral